GAAUAGCGCAGUAUGGUAGCGCACUUGCUUCUGGAGCAAGUGGUCGGAGGUUCAAAUCCUCUCGCCC
This 67-nucleotide transfer RNA is filed under the name Desulfuromonas sp. Its description in RNAcentral is "tRNA-Gln". The stretch from base 4 to 62 matches the Rfam family "tRNA", at positions 8 to 63 of the family's 71-position model. Rfam says of the family: Transfer RNA (tRNA) molecules are approximately 80 nucleotides in length. The record is from RNAcentral. Lineage: Bacteria; Pseudomonadati; Thermodesulfobacteriota; Desulfuromonadia; Desulfuromonadales; Desulfuromonadaceae.